Molecule: ribosomal RNA, 402 nt
Filed under: bacterium
Lineage: Bacteria
Description: partial 16S ribosomal RNA
Rfam family: Bacterial small subunit ribosomal RNA
Source: RNAcentral
UGGGGAAUUUUGCACAAUGGGGGAAACCCUGAUGCAGCGACGCCGCGUGAUUUAGAAGGCCUUCGGGUUGUAAAAAUCUUUUCUAUGGGAAGAAAAUGAUAGUACCAUAGGAAUAAGGACCGGCUAAUUACGUGCCAGCAGCCGCGGGAAUACGUAAGGUCCGAGCGUUUUCCGGAAUCAUUGGGCGUAAAGGGUACGUAGGCGGGUAAGCAAGUUAGAAGUGAAAUCCUAUAGCUCAACUAGAGUAAGCUUUUAAAACUGCUCAUCUUGGGGUAUGGAAGGGAAAGUGGAAUUCCUAGUGUAGCGGUGAAAUGCGCAGAUAUUAGGAGGAAUACCGGUGGCGAAGGCGACUUUCUGGCCAUAACCUGACGCUGAGGUACGAAAGCGUGGGUAGCAAACAAG